This 1027-nucleotide ribosomal RNA is filed under the name uncultured marine bacterium. Its description in RNAcentral is "bacterial SSU rRNA". It matches the Rfam family "Bacterial small subunit ribosomal RNA", at positions 57 to 1134 of the family's 1533-position model. The record is from RNAcentral.
GCAGUCGACGAACCUUCGGGUUAGUGGCGGACGGGUGAGUAACGCGUGGGAAUCUGCCCUCAGGAGGGGGAUAACGGCUGGAAACGGCCGCUAAUACCCCAUAUGCCGAGAGGUGAAAUGAAUUUCGCCUGAGGAUGAGCCCGCGUCUGAUUAGCUAGUUGGUGAGGUAAGAGCUCACCAAGGCAUCGAUCAGUAGCUGGUCUGAGAGGAUGAUCAGCCACACUGGGACUGAGACACGGCCCAGACUCCUACGGGAGGCAGCAGUGGGGAAUUUUCCGCAAUGGGCGAAAGCCUGACGGAGCAACGCCGCGUGAGGGAUGAAGGCCUCUGGGCUGUAAACCUCUUUUCUCAAGGAAGAAGAUCUGACGGUACUUGAGGAAUAAGCCACGGCUAAUUCCGUGCCAGCAGCCGCGGUAAUACGGGAGUGGCAAGCGUUAUCCGGAAUUAUUGGGCGUAAAGCGUCCGCAGGCGGCCCUUCAAGUCUGCUGUUAAAACGUGGAGCUUAACUCCAUCAUGGCAGUGGAAACUGUUGGGCUUGAGUGUGGUAGGGGCAGAGGGAAUUCCCGGUGUAGCGGUGAAAUGCGUAGAUAUCGGGAAGAACACCAGUGGCGAAGGCGCUCUGCUGGGCCAUAACUGACGCUCAUGGACGAAAGCCAGGGGAGCGAAAGGGAUUAGAUACCCCUGUAGUCCUGGCCGUAAACGAUGAACACUAGGUGUCGGGGGAAUCGACCCCCUCGGUGUCGUAGCCAACGCGUUAAGUGUUCCGCCUGGGGAGUACGCACGCAAGUGUGAAACUCAAAGGAAUUGACGGGGGCCCGCACAAGCGGUGGAGUAUGUGGUUUAAUUCGAUGCAACGCGAAGAACCUUACCAGGGUUUGACAUCCUGCGAACCUCUUGGAAACGAGAGGGUGCCUUCGGGAACGCAGUGACAGGUGGUGCAUGGCUGUCGUCAGCUCGUGUCGUGAAAUGUUGGGUUAAGUCCCGCAACGAGGGCAACCCACGUCUUUAGUUGCCAGCAUUUAGUUGG